Molecule: non-coding RNA, 1079 nt
Organism: Schizosaccharomyces pombe (fission yeast)
Lineage: Eukaryota; Fungi; Ascomycota; Schizosaccharomycetes; Schizosaccharomycetales; Schizosaccharomycetaceae
Source: the annotation of a GenBank genome assembly
CUCCUAUACAAACAUGAUAAGUCCGAAAAAUGAUAAUUAAAAAAAAAAAAAGCUGUUUGUUGCCAAAAUCUUAUUCUUUUUGUUUUUGUUAAAACUUCUGCUGCAGUAGACUGACAUGUUGACCUCAAAUAUCUAGUUAUCAUUUACGUUCAUGCAUCAAAUUAAACUAAUUCAGUUUCGUAAAGAUCUUGUUUUUUCUCUUUUUAAGUUUAAUUUUUGUUUCUUUGACAAGGAAGGUACCGAAAAAAGCAAUCCAUGGGAUGUGUUUGAUAAUUGAACAAAGUGUGAAUCUGACUUUAACCAGAAGUAGUAAUGCUCUAAUUUUUUUUAAGAGAAUAAGUAAUACUCUAAGGAUCUUUGAUUGCUUUCGGCGUAAAUAAUUGUUUAUUUGUAUGUAUAACUUUAUUCUGAAAAGCAAAGAAGAAGUUUCAUAUAAAUUCAUAUCAGCAAAAGCGCAUUCUCGGUUGAUUUUAUCGUUUAAUGGUUGAAUUCUUGGGUAUUUUAUACCUCAACUAUUUUUUCAAAAUACUCUUCAAUAAUUUAGUGGGUUCUCCCAUUUGAUCGAUUCAAUUGUUGGGGACUCAAAUUGCAUAAAAAUUGAAGAACAGGAUAUCAUGCUGUAAACAAUUCUCCAUUUCAACUUUCAUUAUUGUUACUCGUCUGCAAUACCUGGAUAUAUCAACACUUACUCCAUCACUGAUGUGCUUACCUAUCUAAGAGUGCAUGUUCUUGGGGACGUCAAAAGUUAUGUUUCCAUCUUACAUGGAUAAAGGAAUCAGCUCUAUUUGCUCUCAAGGGUAAUUUCUAUUAAAUAUCCAUCUAUUUCCUACACCUGCCUGAGAACUUGCUCGAAUUAUUUUUAAAAGAAUAUUUUAGCUAUAAAAAUUUUCUUGUGACCUUUUAAUAUUAUGUUUUUCACCAAUUGUUCCAUGAACAUUACUAAAAAGAGGGAAAUAUUCUUUUACAAAAUAUUUAACACGAUACCAGCUCAACUGAGGAAAUUAGCGUCGCGAUCCGCGUACUACUAAUUGUUAGCCAAACACCGGUUUCCCAAUUCCCAGUUUUGGAUAUUCUUUUUA